UUUGACUUUUUUUGUUUUAGGUCUCUUUUGGCAUAACAUAAACCCUUCGUGUUUUUUUUCAUUCCCACAAAUUCUGUCUAAAAAUCUCUCUCCUUCAGGCUUCAGCAAAACCCGGCCCCGUCUUCCUCUCCAUCUCUCUCAUUUCCUUCCCCAAACCCCGCAACCUCCCCAACAGCCACCGCAAUCACUUUCAAUCAAAAACCAACUGCCGUCGCCACUGGGUGUGGCAAACCCACCUAAAUCUAGUCGCUAACCCUAAUCCCUCAUUCCCUCAUCCUCUAUUCGAGAUUUUGACUGUCCCUGACCCUCAGCCUCUCUUCGACUCACUCCCUCUGUCCCUCAGUUUCAGUCGCCGCCGACCCACCGCAAAGUUCGACGGUUCGGCCGUAUCUCUAAGCUAGCUCUAACCUCUCAGUCAGUCAUCUCACUCCCUCAGCCUCUCUAAGCUAGCUCCUAUUCGUAAUCUCGAACCGCUGAACCGCCGACCCACGGCUUUGCUUCGACCCACUUCCCUCAUCUGAAAUGUUGUUGGACAAGGAGGUGGCGAAGGAGGUGACGAAGGCGGUGAGGAGGAGUUGUUGGAGAAGAAGGUGACGAAGGCGGCGGAGUCGCUGUCGUCUUGCACACUUAACCCCACGAACCCAACACAUCCAUUUCUCCAGAACGCACUCAACUCCUCCAUCAUCGAUUCCAAGACCAGUGUGUCGUUUCUGUAGGUCCUGGCAGGGACUCGGCGAUUUCUGGGAUUUGGGUUGAUCCCUCUCUUAUGGCAGUCCCUUGACUUUAAGUCAGAAACCCUAAAGGGGUUCCACGACUUCAGCCUCUCGCCACUCUUUUCUUCUCUCGACCUAUCAUUUCAGUCUCUCUCUUUCUUCUCUGGCCUCUCGCCCUCUCUUUCUUCUCUUCGUCAAUCUUCUCAGUUUUCUCUUCGUCAUCGAGAAUUCGAGAUCGUCAAGGAGACUGCCAAGGACUGGAAGGGUCUUCAGUCCUCUCAGUUUUCUCAUCGUCUCUGGUCUCCGCCGCCGCUCCGGUCAUCUAGGCCCUCAAAGAGCUAGAUCGCGACCUCAAGGCCACUUCUGCAGAUCCAGAGCCUCUCUCUCAAGUGUUCGCUGCAGAUCCAGCUUUACUGCUGAAGACAUCAAGCAGCCCAGGGAAUCUGGGGUUGUAAAGGUGUAGUCAAGAAAGAAAGCAGAGAUCUUUUUAAAACGUUCGGGUUCAGCUAAAGCAAAGGAACAGGUUCUCCAGUUUACAAGGAAGUGUCUUCUGGGUGAUUAAGCAAAGAAGAAAAAGACAACUCUGUGUCUUUAUUUAUUUGGGAAUCUUUUCAAACACAUUUCUGUCUAAAUUAAUCAGGAAGUGCCUUCUCGGUGAUUGAACAAACAAAAAGGAGACAACUUUGUGUCUUUGUUUGUUUGGCUAUUGUUAAUCAGACAACAUUUGUGUCUAGGUUAAUCAGCUUAUGUUGUGUUUCUUGGACUGUUUGGAUUUGGUCAGAGGAUGUUUGUGAUAACCAAAUUAUAAUUUGAAAACAGGUAUACAGAAUUUGCUGGGGCAGUUCCUACUAGACCUGCACAGGACAGUCAGGACUUGGCAUUUUCAGUUUCAAGGUUUAUACAAAAUGGUGGUUCUUUUGCCAACUACUACAUGGGUUAUGCAUAUAUACUCACGCAGCCCGGAAUACCUUCCGUUUUCUAUGACCACUUCUAUGAUUCGGGUGAUUCAAUUCAUGAUCAGAUUGUGAAACUGGUACAGCAGUGUAGCUAGGUAGUUCCUUUAUUAACUUGUGUCUAGUAGAUUCUUCAUUCAUUAAGCAUUUGGAUUUGUCUGCAGAUUCAGAUUAGUAGAUAUGAGACAUUUUGAACUGAUCGAUGCUCAUGAUUAGGUUGUGUACAUAAGACAAUGGUGGAUUAAUAGAAAUUGCACUGAAUGAUUUUGGAUGUG
This 1941-nucleotide long non-coding RNA is filed under the name Rosa chinensis. RNAcentral's name for it is "sRNA RchiOBHm_Chr1g0344391". The record is from RNAcentral. Lineage: Eukaryota; Viridiplantae; Streptophyta; Magnoliopsida; Rosales; Rosaceae.